RNAcentral lists this transfer RNA (77 nucleotides) under Thermoclostridium caenicola. Its description in RNAcentral is "tRNA-Ile". It matches the Rfam family "tRNA". From Rfam's summary of the family: Transfer RNA (tRNA) molecules are approximately 80 nucleotides in length. Their secondary structure includes four short double-helical elements and three loops (D, anti-codon, and T loops). RNAcentral also lists the same sequence under 7 other names. The record is from RNAcentral. Lineage: Bacteria; Bacillati; Bacillota; Clostridia; Eubacteriales; Oscillospiraceae.
GGGCCUUUAGCUCAGUUGGUUAGAGCUACCGGCUCAUAACCGGUUGGUCCGGGGUUCGAGUCCCUGAAGGCCCACCA